UACGAAGGGGGGCUAGCGUUGCUCGGAAUCACUGGGGCGUAAAGGGCGCGUAGGCGGAUCUUUAAGUCGGGGGUGAAAGCCCAGGGCUCAACCCCUGGAAUUGCCUUCGAUACUGAAGAUCUCGAGACCGGAAGAGGUAAGUGGAACUGCGAGUGUAGAGGUGAAAUUCGUAGAUAUUCGCAAGAACACCAGUGGCGAAGGCGGCUUACUGGUCCGGUUCUGACGCUGAGGCGCGAAAGCGG
RNAcentral lists this ribosomal RNA (242 nucleotides) under uncultured bacterium. Its description in RNAcentral is "partial 16S ribosomal RNA". It matches the Rfam family "Bacterial small subunit ribosomal RNA", at positions 524 to 762 of the family's 1533-position model. The record is from RNAcentral.